This 484-nucleotide ribosomal RNA is filed under the name uncultured bacterium. Its description in RNAcentral is "partial 16S ribosomal RNA". It matches the Rfam family "Bacterial small subunit ribosomal RNA", at positions 30 to 505 of the family's 1533-position model. The record is from RNAcentral.
AUUGAACGCUGGCGGCAUGCCUUACACAUGCAAGUCGAACGGCAGCACGGGUGCUUGCACCUGGUGGCGAGUGGCGAACGGGUGAGUAAUACAUCGGAACAUGUCCUGUAGUGGGGGAUAGCCCGGCGAAAGCCGGAUUAAUACCGCAUACGAUCUACGGAUGAAAGCGGGGGACCUUCGGGCCUCGCGCUAUAGGGUUGGCCGAUGGCUGAUUAGCUAGUUGGUGGGGUAAAGGCCUACCAAGGCGACGAUCAGCAGCUGGUCUGAGAGGACGACCAGCCACACUGGGACUGAGACACGGCCCAGACUCCUACGGGAGGCAGCAGUGGGGAAUUUUGGACAAUGGGCGAAAGCCUGAUCCAGCAAUGCCGCGUGUGUGAAGAAGGCCUUCGGGUUGUAAAGCACUUUUGUCCGGAAAGAAAUCCUUGGCCCUAAUACGGUCGGGGGAUGACGGUACCGGAAGAAUAAGCACCGGCUAACUACG